Wyeomyia smithii (pitcher-plant mosquito) is the source of this 1349-nucleotide long non-coding RNA. RefSeq lists it as uncharacterized. The transcript is spliced from 2 exons. NCBI's taxonomy places the organism in Eukaryota, Metazoa, Arthropoda, Insecta, Diptera, Culicidae. The record is from RefSeq and is a predicted model, not a curated record.
UUUACCCACUUUCUUGUACGGUAUAUUUUUUUCGUCGAAAUAUUUAUAGCUUAAAUCAAGACCUUGCACACAGAGUUUCGCUUUCAAAGAGCCAGGCUUGUAAUAUAUUCCAGCAUGAACGACUCCGCUAUUAUGACCACUUUGAUGAAAUGCUAGUUUUGGUUCCUUCUCCACUACAGCAACUUUCAAUCGAGGAUGUCGCAAUAAAAUUUCUCUUGCGGAAGCCGUUCCAACAAUUCCACCUCCAAGAACCACAAUAUCAUAUUUCCUAAGAUAAAAAUUGAGGUUUGUGAUUACACAUAUGAUGAUAAUCCUAUUCUGCUGGUAAGAGGUUACCGUUUAGCAUUUUGUGAAUAGAAUUUAAAAGCAGGAGCCACUGCACUAAAUAUUUUACUGUUUGCCGGCGAAUAUAGCUGAUAUAUGGAACGAUUUAGUAUUUUAGGCAACAUACUAAUGUAUGAUUAGGUUCCCUGACUGUGACAGACUGAACGCCUGGAUUGUUGUUUCUAUUUUACCACAGCUGCAGUACUGAACUACAGACGCGCUGUCAUGUAUCAGCUGGCUGCUGAAUUGUUGGAUCCGUACUAAUAUUAACUACGGCAACAAGCGGUUGCGAUCGAUAACCCACCAGCAGUUCUAUCUUUGGUUUUUACGCUUUUUUUCAUUAGCACUUUUAUUGCGUGACCUUCAUAUUUCGAAAGAGCAUCAGCUUAUACAUACAUCGUUCCAUCUGAAAUUCAUCAAACUGAAGAAACAGUGCAAGAAGUUUCAGUUCUCCUAUCGUUCGCUCACACCUUCUUGGCCGGAUGACAAAUACAGAUAGGUACCCAGUUUACAAUAAAAAAAUGUAGUCUACUCAACACAAAUAAAAUAAAAGCAAAUCAUUUUAAAUUAAGUGAGAAAAGGAAAUGCCACCAUAACAACAGCGUAAAGGUCAAAAUGAUUAUCUGUAUAACUAAAAUCUGCAUCAAUGCUCAAUCUGGUUGAUUGGUCAUCGGGAUUAGUUUUGAGCUGUAUCGUAACUCGCACCAUUAACCCCAAACCAUCACCCGCAUAGAUAGACUGAACACUGUGUACAGUCUCUAUACCUGCAUCACUGGGAAUUGACGACUUUAGAAAAGCUCGAGAACCUUGAGUCCAUUGAUUGAUGCGCCUAAACUUAGAUAGCACAAAAUACAUAUGAAGUCUUGUACAUCUUCUUACAUUUGAGAAAAUGUGAAGCUUUUAAAGUUAGGUAUGAGAAUAUAAAAUUUGGUGGCGAUAGACGCAAUAGACAGGUAGCGAUAGAGUUUUCAAAAGACAUUACGGUAAAAUAAAUAGUGAAUUUGGCAGCUGGGUUUCAUGUGUUA